ACCCUGCGUCAGAAAACAGAUGUUGAGUUAAGGGAUUCCUAAAUUGUUAGGUUGUCCGGUUAUCAAUGUUGUAGUUCUGUGUUAACCGUAAGUUUUUAUUUUAGGAGUUUCAAAAUGGCAACAGGCACUGUAAAGUGGUUUAACAACACGAAGGGUUUUGGUUUUAUUGCACCUGCUGAUGGCGGCGAAGAUGUUUUUGUUCACCAUUCAGUUAUUCAGGGCGAAGGCUUCAAAACUUUGACUGAAGGCGACACGGUCACUUUUGACAUCGAAUCAGGUCCAAAAGGCUUAACUGCUGCUAAUGUUUAUUCCAAAUAAGGAAUAGACAGCUUUAAAAAAAGCCCUUGCGAUUCACAUCGCAAGGGCUUUU
This 370-nucleotide small RNA is filed under the name Methylobacter tundripaludum SV96. Its description in RNAcentral is "cspA thermoregulator". It matches the Rfam family "cspA thermoregulator". Lineage: Bacteria; Pseudomonadati; Pseudomonadota; Gammaproteobacteria; Methylococcales; Methylococcaceae. The record is from Rfam by way of RNAcentral.